UACGUAGGGUGCAGGCGUUAAUCGGAAUUACUGGGCGUAAAGCGUGCGCAGGCGGUUCGUUGUGUCGGCGGUGAAAGCCCCGGGCUUAACCUGGGAAUGGCCGUUGAAACUGGCGAACUGGAGUGUGGCAGAGGGGGGUGGAAUUCCGCGUGUAGCAGUGAAAUGCGUAGAGAUGCGGAGGAACACCGAUGGCGAAGGCAGCCCCCUGGGCUAACACUGACGCUCAGGCACGAAAGCGUGGGGAGCAAACAGG
Molecule: ribosomal RNA, 253 nt
Filed under: uncultured bacterium
Lineage: Bacteria
Description: partial 16S ribosomal RNA
Rfam family: Bacterial small subunit ribosomal RNA
Source: RNAcentral